This 253-nucleotide ribosomal RNA is filed under the name uncultured bacterium. Its description in RNAcentral is "partial 16S ribosomal RNA". It matches the Rfam family "Bacterial small subunit ribosomal RNA", at positions 524 to 776 of the family's 1533-position model. The record is from RNAcentral.
UACGUAGGUGGCAAGCGUUGUCCGGAAUUAUUGGGCGUAAAGCGCGCGCAGGCGGUCCUUUAAGUCUGAUGUGAAAGCCCACGGCUCAACCGUAGAGGGUCAUUGGAAACUGGGGGACUUGAGUACAGAAGAGAAGAGUGGAAUUCCACGUGUAGCGGUGAAAUGCGUAGAGAUGUGGAGGAACACCAGUGGCGAAGGCGACUCUUUGGUCUGUAACUGACGCUGAGGCGCGAAAGCGUGGGGAGCAAACAGG